This 916-nucleotide ribosomal RNA is filed under the name Pleurotus eryngii. RNAcentral describes it as "partial 28S ribosomal RNA". It matches the Rfam family "Eukaryotic large subunit ribosomal RNA", at positions 40 to 962 of the family's 3401-position model. The record is from RNAcentral. Lineage: Eukaryota; Fungi; Basidiomycota; Agaricomycetes; Agaricales; Pleurotaceae.
AUAUCAAUAAGCGGAGGAAAAGAAACUAACAAGGAUUCCCCUAGUAACUGCGAGUGAAGCGGGAAAAGCUCAAAUUUAAAAUCUGGUGGUCUUUGGCCAUCCGAGUUGUAAUCUAGAGAAGUGUUAUCCGCGCUGGACCGUGUACAAGUCCCCUGGAAUGGGGCGUCAUAGAGGGUGAGAAUCCCGUCUUUGACACGGACUACCAGGGCUUUGUGAUGCACUCUCAAAGAGUCGAGUUGUUUGGGAAUGCAGCUCAAAAUGGGUGGUAAAUUCCAUCUAAAGCUAAAUAUUGGCGAGAGACCGAUAGCGAACAAGUACCGUGAGGGAAAGAUGAAAAGAACUUUGGAAAGAGAGUUAAACAGUACGUGAAAUUGUUGAAAGGGAAACGCUUGAAGUCAGUCGCGUCUGCCAGGGAUCAACCUUACUUUUGUGAGGCGUACUUCCUGGUUGAUGGGUCAGCAUCAGUUUUGGUUGCUGGAUAAAGGUCAGAGAAAUGUGGCACCUUCGGGUGUGUUAUAGUCUUUGAUCAGAUACAGUGGCUGGGACUGAGGAACUCAGCGCCGCAAGGCUGUCUUAGGAUGCUGGCAAAAUGGCUUUAAUCGACCCGUCUUGAAACACGGACCAAGGAGUCUAACAUGCCUGCGAGUGUUUGGGUGGAAAACCCGAGCGCGUAAUGAAAGUGAAAGUUGGGAUCCUUGUCAUGGGGAGCACCGACGCCCAUACCAGAAGUUUACGGACGGAUAUGCGGUGGAGCAUGUAUGUUGGGACCCGAAAGAUGGUGAACUAUGCCUGAAUAGGGCGAAGCCAGAGGAAACUCUGGUGGAGGCUCGUAGCGAUUCUGACGUGCAAAUCGAUCGUCGAAUUUGGGUAUAGGGGGCGAAAGACUAAUCGAACCAUCUAGUAGCUGGUUCCUGCC